GUUGGACGCUAGUUGGUGGAGCCCCCGCGGGAAACGACUAAGCGCGAGGAGCGUGCGCGCUCACGUCGCGGCGACGGUGGCGGCGAGCGGCGUCAGAGCUUGAAGGGGGGGGCUGACGUCUUCUGGCGGGUGGCGGUGUUGGAGACGAGAGCUUGGUUAGCCGGUAUUGCUUCUGUCCCAGGAACCCGACGGAGAGUGAGGGAACGAGGGUCGCUUUCGGGGGCUGCUGCCUUCCACGUACGCGUCGUCGUGAGGAGCGCAGCCCGGACUCUCCUGCAACCCCUCCAGCUCCCUUUUCCGCACGCCUCGAGGCAGCGGCGGCAACCGAGACAGCGUCUCACCUUCCCCCACCCCUUCCCCUUGUCCCCCCGCCCGAGAGGGCCCGGUCUGCGCCCCACCCCCGUCCGUCCGCCCGCUACGCCGCCGCCAUGUCGGCGCAGGCCCAGAUGCGCGCGAUGCUGGACCAGUUGAUGGGCACCUCCCGGGACGGGCCCUGGUGGUGGCAACCGCCUGUGUGCCACUGAAAAUCGUGCCGAUGCCUGGCAUACUGCAUAAAUGGAAGCAGGGUACCGCGCAUCAUGGGCUAAGGAAAAGAGCACUGGGCUGAGACUCAGGAGACCUGGUUUCUAGCCCCAGCUGUACCUCUAAUUGUAACCUUGGUUGUGAACCAUGUGCAAUGAUGUUGACCUCUGUGAUUCAACAUGAAAAGAAUUUAACCAGCUGCCCUUGCUGAAUCUUUUGUCAUGUCUCCUGAAUGCAUGCCUUCACAGUUGUUGAUCACAUAGCAUGGUCAUCCACUCACAGCUUAAAAAAAUACAGGGAGCAUCGGAGAGAAUGGGUUCAAUGUAUCUAUGCCUGCCUACUUCAGUCUGCAAGGGAGUGUCAGAAAGGCCCCGCAUUCGCCGAGCCGAGAUACUACUCGUCAACGAAUCAAAUUCAGUGAUGACAGAGUAUGCAAGAGUCACCUUCUGAAUUGUUGCCCCCAUGAUGUCCUGUCUGGAACUGUACGUGUUUAUUAAAUCUGUUGUUUUGUUAUUGGUA
Molecule: RNA transcript, 1041 nt
Organism: Balaenoptera ricei (Rice's whale)
Lineage: Eukaryota; Metazoa; Chordata; Mammalia; Artiodactyla; Balaenopteridae
Gene: LUC7L2
Gene name: LUC7 like 2, pre-mRNA splicing factor
Exons: 7
Source: RefSeq, a predicted model, not a curated record